RNAcentral lists this ribosomal RNA (205 nucleotides) under uncultured bacterium. RNAcentral describes it as "partial 16S ribosomal RNA". It matches the Rfam family "Bacterial small subunit ribosomal RNA", at positions 568 to 774 of the family's 1533-position model. The record is from RNAcentral.
CGUGUAGGCGGUCCGGUAAGUGAGAUGUGAAAUCCCUCGGCUCACCCGAGGACCUGCAUCUCAAACUGCCUGACUCGAGUACGGGAGAGGAUGUGGGAAUUCCUGGUGUAGCGGUGAAAUGCGUAGAUAUCAGGAGGAACACCGGUGGCGAAAGCGCACAUCUGGCCCGAUACUGACGCUGAGGCGCGAAGCUAGGGAGCAAACG